Lingula anatina is the source of this 1421-nucleotide long non-coding RNA. The record is from RefSeq and is a predicted model, not a curated record. NCBI's taxonomy places the organism in Eukaryota, Metazoa, Brachiopoda, Lingulata, Lingulida, Lingulidae.
UAUAUUUAUCUGAGACCCACAGUUGUCUAACUGACCAGUGGGCAAGAAUGUUCAUGGCAUAAACUGGUAUACAAUGUGUAUGGCUAAACCACAUCCCUAUUUAAAUUAUACAUCGAUGUGUCUUAAUAUUGUUGCAUAGAUCUUCUAAUGUUUUGUAUAUUUGUCAUGAUUUCAUGCAUAGUCACUGCAUACAUUGUAUAAAAUGGUUACAUUGCAACUAUACUCAGUUUGUUAAUUGGUGUGUAUCUAAACAAUAAUUAAUUACUAACAUUCGUAGUAUGAUGGUAAUCACUCCAAUAUGUUUUUUUCCUUUAGUUUGGUUAACCUUCAGAAGAACCUUGAAGUUUAUUGGAAUGGAGUGACAGAUGGGGAGAGGAAAGUCAUGGAGGAGGUUAUGGAGAGGUUUAUGAAACCUUUGAAUAAUAAACACUGGGAAGGUGUUGAGGUGGCUAAGUACUGGAAGAAAAUCCAAAAAGCUUCUGAUUCAUGAAUACCAUAAGCUGCAACCAUUGGGAGGGGGUGGAAGAGAAACUCUACUGGAAAGCCAUACAAGAUGCCAAAAACCUGGGAAAAGACACCUUGCCCAACCUGGGGUGACACACCUACUUAGCAGUACACUAGGGCCUCAUUCACAACCAAGUUGAUCUAACUAGUCCGCAGAUCAAAUAUGGCACACACUUGACAAUGGAUUCCAGCCUCCCAUGUGUGCCGUCCCAGCAGGAGCAGGGCAAUUAAUUCUCGCCAUGCUUCUCAGUGGAUUGCGCCAUAUUUGAUCUGCGGACUAGUUAGUCUGCGGAUCAACUAUUUCUGAAUGCGCCCUAAGCCUUUUGCAGCUAGAUGACUAGAUGUUAAAUUCCUUUGUGUACUGAAGAGCUUGCUGUCCAGUAAACAAAAGAAUCAAAUCACAGUUCCUCUGAAGAUUUUUUUUGGAGAAAGACAUUAACACUGUAGUCAUGGUAAUUUAUUUUUAGAUUGACUUUCAUUUGGGGUCUUGUAGAAAGGAAUUUUCUUCAGUGCCAUCUAAAAUCGUAUGAUUAAUUUAUAGUGAUAUAACUUUGAAAGGCAUUCAGUGACAUAAUUAUUAUUUUGUGGGAUUUCAUAUGGAGGUAUGGGAAGCUGCCAUGUUUAUUGAUCAAUAUUGAAUUAUAGGUGAUUAAUAUUAAAUGCUAUCAGAGAUAUAUCACAUCAUAAUGGUUAUGUUACAUUAUAAUGGAGGUGGCUUUUUCUGUGUACCAAAAGAGCAGGGGAAUUCUUAGGAUGUGGUAAAAUGCUCAAAUAAAUUCUAAAUGAAGUGCAAAUAAAUAUUCAUAACAUUCCAUUGUCUAAUUGUUUACAUAUAACUGUAUAAUUUUGUAUUUUGUUAUAGUUAUACUUUAUUUUCAAACAUGAUUUAAUCAGUCAAUAAAGGUAUAUACAACACA